Molecule: ribosomal RNA, 253 nt
Filed under: uncultured bacterium
Lineage: Bacteria
Description: partial 16S ribosomal RNA
Rfam family: Bacterial small subunit ribosomal RNA
Source: RNAcentral
AACGUGGGAGACAAACGUUAUCCGGAGUUACUGGGCGUAAAGGGCGUGUAGGCGGUCGACUAAGUCUGGCGUGAAAGCUCGCGGCUAAACCGCGAGAGGUCGUUGGAUACUGGUUGACUAGAGGACGGUAGAGGCGUGUGGAAUUCCGGGUGUAGUGGUGAAAUGCGUAGAGAUCCGGAGGAACACCAGUGGCGAAGGCGACACGCUGGGCCGUACCUGACGCUAAAACGCGACAGCAUGGGGAGCGAACGGG